Molecule: ribosomal RNA, 1202 nt
Filed under: Brevibacterium antarcticum
Lineage: Bacteria; Bacillati; Actinomycetota; Actinomycetes; Micrococcales; Brevibacteriaceae
Description: bacterial SSU rRNA
Rfam family: Bacterial small subunit ribosomal RNA
Source: RNAcentral
GAGGUAAUGGCUCACCAAGACGACGACGGGUAGCCGGCCUGAGAGGGCGACCGGCCACACUGGGACUGAGACACGGCCCAGACUCCUACGGGAGGCAGCAGUGGGGAAUAUUGCACAAUGGGGGAAACCCUGAUGCAGCGACGCAGCGUGCGGGAUGACGGCCUUCGGGUUGUAAACCGCUUUCAGCAGGGAAGAAGCCCCUUGGGGUGACGGUACCUGCAGAAGAAGUACCGGCUAACUACGUGCCAGCAGCCGCGGUAAUACGUAGGGUACAAGCGUUGUCCGGAAUUAUUGGGCGUAAAGAGCUCGUAGGUGGUUGGUCACGUCUGCUGUGGAAACGCAACGCUUAACGUUGCGCGUGCAGUGGGUACGGGCUGACUAGAGUGCAGUAGGGGAGUCUGGAAUUCCUGGUGUAGCGGUGAAAUGCGCAGAUAUCAGGAGGAACACCGGUGGCGAAGGCGGGACUCUGGGCUGUAACUGACACUGAGGAGCGAAAGCAUGGGGAGCGAACAGGAUUAGAUACCCUGGUAGUCCAUGCCGUAAACGUUGGGCACUAGGUGUGGGGGACAUUCCACGUUCUCCGCGCCGUAGCUAACGCAUUAAGUGCCCCGCCUGGGGAGUACGGUCGCAAGGCUAAAAACUCAAAGGAAUUGACGGGGGCCCGCACAAGCGGCGGAGCAUGCGGAUUAAUUCGAUGCAACGCGAAGAACCUUACCAAGGCUUGACAUACACCAGACCGUCCUGGAAACAGGUCCUCCUCUUUGAGGUUGGUGUACAGGUGGUGCAUGGUUGUCGUCAGCUCGUGUCGUGAGAUGUUGGGUUAAGUCCCGCAACGAGCGCAACCCUCGUUCUAUGUUGCCAGCACGUAAAGGUGGGAACUCAUAGGAGACUGCCGGGGUCAACUCGGAGGAAGGUGGGGAUGACGUCAAAUCAUCAUGCCCUUUAUGUCUUGGGCUUCACGCAUGCUACAAUGGCUGGUACAGAGAGAUGCGAGACCGCGAGGUUUUAGCGAAUCCCUUAAAGCCAGUCUCAGUUCGGAUCGUAGUCUGCAAUUCGACUACGUGAAGUCGGAGUCGCUAGUAAUCGCAGAUCAGCAACGCUGCGGUGAAUACGUUCCCGGGCCUUGUACACACCGCCCGUCAAGUCACGAAAGUCGGUAACACCCGAAGCCGGUGGCCCAACCCUUGUGGAGGGGGCCGUCU